ACUUCCUAAGCCGGAACGAAAAGUCUCUUUGUAGCGAUACGCUGAAACUUUUGGCUUUGUGGUUGUGAUGUUGUGUUUGCAAGUUGUCUGGGCCAACCAGACUUUGUAGCUUAAGCUACUGUUUUUUUCACUUCCUGUA
RNAcentral lists this non-coding RNA (139 nucleotides) under Xenorhabdus nematophila F1. RNAcentral describes it as "GcvB". It matches the Rfam family "GcvB RNA", at positions 1 to 140 of the family's 204-position model. From Rfam's summary of the family: The gcvB gene encodes a small untranslated RNA involved in expression of the dipeptide and oligopeptide transport systems in Escherichia coli. Included several unknown homologues in alignment (Bateman A pers obs). RNAcentral also lists the same sequence under 2 other names. The record is from RNAcentral. Lineage: Bacteria; Pseudomonadati; Pseudomonadota; Gammaproteobacteria; Enterobacterales; Morganellaceae.